GAAGCGACCUCGCGAGAGCAAGCGGACCUCAUAAAGUAUGUCGUAGUCCGGAUUGGAGUCUGCAACUCGACUCCAUGAAGUCGGAAUCGCUAGUAAUCGUAGAUCAGAAUGCUACGGUGAAUACGUUCCCGGGCCUUGUACACACCGCCCGUCACACCAUGGGAGUGGGUUGCAAAAGAAGUAGGUAGCUUAACCUUCGGGAGGGCGCUUACCACUUUGUGAUUCAUGACUGGGGUGAAGUCGUAACAAGGUAACCGUAGGGGAACCUGCGGUUGGAUCACCUCCUUACCUUAAAGAA
This 298-nucleotide ribosomal RNA is filed under the name Klebsiella pneumoniae. RNAcentral's name for it is "partial 16S ribosomal RNA". It matches the Rfam family "Bacterial small subunit ribosomal RNA", at positions 1246 to 1533 of the family's 1533-position model. Lineage: Bacteria; Pseudomonadati; Pseudomonadota; Gammaproteobacteria; Enterobacterales; Enterobacteriaceae. The record is from RNAcentral.